This 274-nucleotide ribosomal RNA is filed under the name uncultured bacterium. RNAcentral describes it as "partial 16S ribosomal RNA". It matches the Rfam family "Bacterial small subunit ribosomal RNA", at positions 523 to 796 of the family's 1533-position model. The record is from RNAcentral.
AUACGGAGGGUGCAAGCGUUAUCCGGAUUUACUGGGUUUAAAGGGUACGCAGGCGGUAAUUUAAGUCAGUGGUGAAAGCCUACAGCUCAACUGUAGAACUGCCAUUGAAACUGAAUUACUUGAGUAUGGUAGAGGUAGGCGGAAUACAACAUGUAGCGGUGAAAUGCAUAGAUAUGUUGUAGAACACCGAUUGCGAAGGCAGCUUACUAAACCAUUACUGACGCUCAUGUACGAAAGCGUGGGGAGCGAACAGGAUUAGAAACCCCUGUAGUCC